GUAAGGAAUAUUGGUCAAUGGACGCAAGUCUGAACCAGCCAUGCCGCGUGCAGGAAGACGGCCCUAUGGGUUGUAAACUGCUUUUGUCGGGGAAGAAACCCAUCUACGUGUAGAUGGCUGACGGUACUCGAAGAAUAAGGAUCGGCUAACUCCGUGCCAGCAGCCGCGGUAAUACGGAGGAUCCAAGCGUUAUCCGGAUUUAUUGGGUUUAAAGGGUGCGUAGGCGGCGUUGUAAGUCAGUGGUGAAAGUUUUCAGCUUAACUGGAAAAUUGCCAUUGAUACUGCAGUGCUUGAGUAUAGAUGAGGUGGGCGGAAUGUGUCAUGUAGCGGUGAAAUGCAUAGAUAUGACACAGAACACCGAUUGCGAAGGCAGCUCACUAAACUAUAACUGACGCUGAGGCACGAAAGCGUGGGGAUCAAACAGGAUUA
This 429-nucleotide ribosomal RNA is filed under the name Bacteroidetes bacterium SCGC AAA028-D13. RNAcentral describes it as "bacterial SSU rRNA". It matches the Rfam family "Bacterial small subunit ribosomal RNA", at positions 354 to 780 of the family's 1533-position model. Lineage: Bacteria; Pseudomonadati; Bacteroidota. The record is from RNAcentral.